Molecule: ribosomal RNA, 468 nt
Filed under: uncultured bacterium
Lineage: Bacteria
Description: partial 16S ribosomal RNA
Rfam family: Bacterial small subunit ribosomal RNA
Source: RNAcentral
GACGAACGCUGGCGGCGUGCUUAACACAUGCAAGUCGAACGGAAAGGCCCUGCUUUUGUGGGGUGCUCGAGUGGCGAACGGGUGAGUAACACGUGAGUAACCUGCCCUUGACUUUGGGAUAACUUCAGGAAACUGGGGCUAAUACCGGAUAGGAGCUCCUGCUGCAUGGUGGGGGUUGGAAAGUUUCGGCGGUUGGGGAUGGACUCGCGGCUUAUCAGCUUGUUGGUGGGGUAGUGGCUUACCAAGGCUUUGACGGGUAGCCGGCCUGAGAGGGUGACCGGCCACAAUGGGACUGAGAUACGGCCCAGACUCCUACGGGAGGCAGCAGUGGGGAGUAUUGCACAAUGGGCGGAAGCCUGAUGCAGAGACGCCGCGUGCGGGAUGACGGCCUUCGGGUUGUAAACCGCUGUCGCCUGUGACGAAGCGUGAGUGACGGUAAUGGGUAAAGAAGCACCGGCUAACUACGUG